Molecule: ribosomal RNA, 372 nt
Filed under: Columbicola theresae
Lineage: Eukaryota; Metazoa; Arthropoda; Insecta; Psocodea; Philopteridae
Description: partial 12S ribosomal RNA
Source: RNAcentral
CCCUAUUAUUAGGAGAAAAAAAUCAUUUGGGAGUAAGAAUUAAAUCUGAAAACUAUCCAGAAUGGCGGUUUUUUUUAUUAUCAGAUAAAUGUGUUUUUAAAACGAAAUUACACGAAAAUCUUUCUUUCUCUUGAAAAGUUCAUUCUGUACACCGCCGUCUGAAGGGUCAAAAAAAAGGUCCAACCCUAAAUUUACAAUUCAUUGUAAAAAUAAGUCAGGUUAGGUGCAGACCAUGGGAAAGACAAAAUGCAUUUCUCUAAAACGUUCAAAAUACAAGUUGAAAAAUUUGUGUUAAGAUGAAUUUGAUAGUAAGGAAAUUUCAUUAUAAUUUUCUGAAUUUAUACCAAAAAAAUGUACACAUCGCCCGUCGCU